GGGUUGCAAGAAGAGGUGACUUUUACCAGAUGAAAUGGAGAAAGCCCUUGGGCAAAGAGAUGCAGGGUCAAUUGAGUUUCUGAGCAUUUUGAAAACUGAGACUACUUUUUAAUUACUUUCAAAUUAAGGAACAUUCAAUACUACAGCACCUUUUGUGAAGUAAAUUAAAACCAUUUUCUGAGAUACAUAGUCUGGAUUUCCUCCUACUCCUGUUGCUAGGAGGAAGAAAAAGAGAACAAGAAAGAUAGUAAAUAAUUCAACCUUAAAUUCUAUGUAAUAUACCACCCUUCUGCCUUAUCUUAGGCUAAAUUAGCAUAUUUCAAAUAUUCUAAACAAUGAAAUGAAAAAAUAAGGGACGGGAUUUCAGAGAACUCCAACUUAAUGAUGCAGCAGUCAACCAGCUGUUACCAACAGUUUCUUUCCAGAAUGAAGUACUGAUUUGACAGUGAUUGGUUACCCCACAGAGACUGUCUUGGUAUCAAGAAAUCCAAAUAAGCUGAUCACAGUGAAAUCUGAUCUCUCAGGGACCACUUCUGUCUGCAAAUGAAGGGGAGCCAUUUGACCAGCUAUUAGGAUCUGGGGCUUUGGACUCUGACAGCACUGGGUUCAAAUCCCUAUUACCAAUGAGUAAUUGUCUGAAAGCAGACUUCUUAACCUUCUUCACCUGUGUGUUUUGCUGUCUAAGAAUGGUGCCCUUUUCACUGAGCUCAGUGGAUCCCUCACAUUCUUCUCAUCAGAGAGUUCUGGGCAAAAACUUGGAGGCCCAACUUUAAAGUUGAAUAAUAACUGCAACAGUGAGGUAUCCCUUAUUUGUGACCUGUGGAACUUUUACUCGACCCCGCCUUCUGUUCCUAUGAUAACAACCACAACCAUGGCAACAAUAACACUGAUAUGGACAGGAGACAGGGAGACAUUGGGUAGGAGAGGGCAGUUCCUUGGCAAAGGCCCCACUCUCAAGCGUGGAAAUCCACAGCCUGGAAACCCACAGCCCUCAGUGAGAAAAAGUGUUUCUGUUUUUGUACCCAAAAAGUUGCCUUUUGGUACACUACACUUCCCUAUCCUGUACCCAUAUAAACCCUGAACCCUGGGCUCCAAAAGGAGAUGAGCAAGCAGAACAACGGCAGAAUGGCAGAGCAGAAAAGAAGAGAAGAAGCAUCUGAAUGUCAAGAGGAGCACAGCUGGGGACAAUCAGAGAGAUCAGCUGCUGGACCGCCAAACCCUAGGGGAAGAUCAUUUUCCCACUCUGUCCCCCUUCCAGCUCCCCAUUCAUCCUGCUGAGAGCUACCUCCACCACUCAAUAAAACCCUGCAUUCAUUCUUCAAGUCCCUGUGUGACCUGGUUCUUCCUGGUUGCUGGACAAGGAACUGGGUCCCAAGGGGGUCCACUGAGCCGUCUAACACUUAAACCACCUGCAGGUGGCAAGGCUAAAAGAACACAUUCUAACAUGUGCCCACUUGGGCUUUGGGAGUUGAAGACACCCAACCCAACCCCAUGGCUACCAUGGGGCCAGAGCCCCCAAAACACUAGCCCUGGCUCCUGCACCUGUCCAUCUGUGUGCCCCUACUCUCUUAAGGGGUUUGAGCAUGGCAGCUGAACAAAUGAGCUACACCCAUGUCACAUGUCCUGCAAGGGGGGGUCAGGGAACUCUCCUGUUUCAGCACUGUGCACCAGACAUGGUGUAAGUUCUUUGGAUAUACCAACUCAUUCAUUUCUUACUAUAACCCCAGGAAGUCAAUAACUUCAUAUUAUACCACAC
RNAcentral lists this long non-coding RNA (1756 nucleotides) under Homo sapiens (human). RNAcentral's name for it is "HSALNT0048034". The record is from RNAcentral. Lineage: Eukaryota; Metazoa; Chordata; Mammalia; Primates; Hominidae.